This 402-nucleotide ribosomal RNA is filed under the name uncultured bacterium. Its description in RNAcentral is "partial 16S ribosomal RNA". It matches the Rfam family "Bacterial small subunit ribosomal RNA", at positions 355 to 774 of the family's 1533-position model. The record is from RNAcentral.
UGGGGAAUCUUAGACAAUGGGGACAACCCUGAUCUAGCCAUGCCGCGUGAGUGAUGAAGGCCUUAGGGUUGUAAAGCUCUUUCAGCUGGGAAGAUAAUGACGGUACCAGCAGAAGAAGCCCCGGCUAACUCCGUGCCAGCAGCCGCGGUAAUACGGAGGGGGCUAGCGUUGUUCGGAAUUACUGGGCGUAAAGCGCACGUAGGCGGACUGGAAAGUUGGGGGUGAAAUCCCGGGGCUCAACCUCGGAACUGCCUUCAAAACUAUCAGUCUGGAGUUCGAGAGAGGUGAGUGGAAUUCCGAGUGUAGAGGUGAAAUUCGUAGAUAUUCGGAGGAACACCAGUGGCGAAGGCGGCUCACUGGCUCGAUACUGACGCUGAGGUGCGAAAGCGUGGGGAGCAAACA